Molecule: ribosomal RNA, 271 nt
Filed under: uncultured archaeon
Lineage: Archaea
Description: partial 16S ribosomal RNA
Rfam family: Archaeal small subunit ribosomal RNA
Source: RNAcentral
CGGCAGCCCGAGUGGUGAUCACUAUUAUUGGGUCUAAAGGGUCCGUAGCCGGUUUGAUCAGUCUUUUGGGAAAUCUGACAGCUUAACUGUUAGGCUUCCAAAGGAUACUGUUAGACUUGGGACCGGGAGAGGUAAGAGGUACUACAGGGGUAGGAGUGAAAUCUUGUAAUCCCUGUGGGACCACCAGUGGCGAAGGCGUCUUACCAGAACGGGUCCGACGGUGAGGGACGAAAGCUGGGGGCACGAACCGGAUUAGAUACCCGAGUAGUCC